CUAGAGCAUGGAUUUCAGGGCAGAAGUUUUUUUAAAUUUAAUAAUUAAAGUUAUUUUAAUUUGUGAAGAAACAAUUAUAUAAAUUAAGGACAAGAAGACCCUAAGAAUUUAAGAAUUCUUAUGUUACUUAAAUAUAAAAUAGGAAUUCUUAGUUGGGGCAACUAAAAAACAUUAUAAACUUUUUUUUCUUUAAAAUGACCCAUUAUUAAUG
This 211-nucleotide ribosomal RNA is filed under the name Dermacentor reticulatus. RNAcentral's name for it is "partial large subunit ribosomal RNA". The record is from RNAcentral. Lineage: Eukaryota; Metazoa; Arthropoda; Arachnida; Ixodida; Ixodidae.